CAUAUCAAUAAGCGGAGGAAAAGAAACCAACAGGGAUUGCCCUAGUAACGGCGAGUGAAGCGGCAACAGCUCAAAUUUGAAAUCUGGCUUUCUCGGAGGCCCGAGUUGUAAUUUGCAGAGGGUGCUUUGGCAUCGGCAGCGGUCUAAGUUCCUUGGAACAGGACGUCAUAGAGGGUGAGAAUCCCGUACGUGGCCGCCAGCCUUCGCCGUGUAAAGCCCCUUCGACGAGUCGAGUUGUUUGGGAAUGCAGCUCUAAAUGGGAGGUAAAUUUCUUCUAAAGCUAAAUACCGGCCAGAGACCGAUAGCGCACAAGUAGAGUGAUCGAAAGAUGAAAAGCACUUUGGAAAGAGAGUCAAACAGCACGUGAAAUUGUUGAAAGGGAAGCGCUUGCCGCCAGACGUGCCCGUGGUGGUUCUCCUCCGCGGGCAGGCCAGCAUCAGUUUGGGCGAUCGGAAAAUGGCCUCUGUCAUGUAUCUCCCUUCGGGGUGACCUUAUAGGGGAGGCGUAAUGCGAUCAGCCCGGACUGAGGACCGCGCAUCUGCUAGGAUGCUGGCGUAAUGGCUGUAAGCGGCCCGUCUUGAAACACGGACCAAGGAGUCUAACAUCUAUGCGAGUGUUUGGGUGUCAAGCCCGAGCGCGUAAUGAAAGUGAACGGAGGUGGGAACCCUCUCUGGGGGUGCACCAUCGACCGAUCCUGAAGUCUUCGGAUGGAUUUGAGUAAGAGCAUGGCUGUUGGGACCCGAAAGAUGGUGAACUAUGCUUGAAUAGGGUGAAGCCAGAGGAAACUCUGGUGGAGGCUCGCAGCGGUUCUGACGUGCAAAUCGAUCGUCAAAUUUGGGCAUAGGGGCGAAAGACUAAUCGAACUAUCUAGUAGCUGGUUCCUGCCGA
RNAcentral lists this ribosomal RNA (888 nucleotides) under Pseudodictyosporium wauense. Its description in RNAcentral is "LSU rRNA". It matches the Rfam family "Eukaryotic large subunit ribosomal RNA", at positions 39 to 964 of the family's 3401-position model. The record is from RNAcentral. Lineage: Eukaryota; Fungi; Ascomycota; Dothideomycetes; Pleosporales; Dictyosporiaceae.